RNAcentral lists this ribosomal RNA (615 nucleotides) under Delonix leucantha. Its description in RNAcentral is "eukaryotic LSU rRNA". The stretch from base 201 to 356 matches the Rfam family "5.8S ribosomal RNA". Lineage: Eukaryota; Viridiplantae; Streptophyta; Magnoliopsida; Fabales; Fabaceae. The record is from RNAcentral.
CCGCCGGACGCACGUCGCGAGAAUGUCUCACUGAACCUUAUCAUUUAGAGGAAGAAGAAGUCGUAACAAGGUUCUACGGAAGGAUCACGGGGACGCGCGACCAAGCCCCGGCGCCCGUCGCACCAAGGAAACGGAAAGAACGCGCGGGAUCCGUCCGGGGAGCGCCGCCGCGCCACGGGUAUGCCACGCAUACACAAAACGACUCUCGGCAACGGAUAUCUCGGCUCUCGCAUCGAUGAAGAACGUAGCGAAAUGCGAUACUUGGUGUGAAUUGCAGAAUCCCGUGAACCAUCGAGUCUUUGAACGCAAGUUGCGCCCGAAGCCAUCCGGCCGAGGGCACGCCUGCCUGGGCGUCACGCAACGUCGCCCCCACCCCAUCGCGGGCGGGGCGGAGGAUGGCCUCCCGCGAGCACCCGUCUCCCAGAUGGCCGAAACGCGAGCGCGAGACGGCAGUCGCCACGAUCCACGGUGGGAGGAGCGGAACUCGCUCACUCGAGACCGGCCGUGCGCGAGCUGCCGCCGCGCAGGACCCACGCGCGCCACGGGCGCUCCCGACGCGACCCCAGGUCAGGCGGGGACACCCGCUGAGUUUAAGCAUAUCAAUAAGCGGAGGAA